This 423-nucleotide long non-coding RNA is filed under the name Pan troglodytes (chimpanzee). Its description in RNAcentral is "long non-coding RNA NONPTRT017498". The record is from RNAcentral. Lineage: Eukaryota; Metazoa; Chordata; Mammalia; Primates; Hominidae.
GAAACGCGCGGCCGCCCAGGGCUGCCAAUGCCCCGGCGGCGCUGUUCUGAACAAACUGUUUUGGCCAGCCUGUGAAAUCCCUGGAAAUUGACGAUUCCAGCAAAGCGUCGUGAACUGGGAAAGCACCAAGUGUUCUACUCAAAAGCCGCAAAGGGACAAAACAAGCUAGACCCGAGGCCCAGAUGAAGCGGAAGGAGGAGGCUUGCGAGAGGAAGUUCAAGGGGAAUUGGAGUUAUAGUGAGUGAAACAAGAUAAUUCCUGAAGAAGCAUACUUUGAAAAAAGUCUAAGGCUUGUGAAGAUACAGUGAGAAUGUGGCCAUCUGCAAGCCAGGAGGCAUGCCCUCAUCAAAACCUGAUCAUGCUGGCAUCUUCAUCUUGGAAUUUCAGCCUCCAGAACUAUAAGAAAAUAAAUCUCAAUUGGGC